GGUGAACGCUGGCGGUAGGCCUAACACAUGCAAGUCGAACGGCAGCACAGUAAGAGCUUGCUCUUACGGGUGGCGAGUGGCGGACGGGUGAGGAAUACAUCGGAAUCUACUUUUUCGUGGGGGAUAACGUAGGGAAACUUACGCUAAUACCGCAUACGACCUACGGGUGAAAGCAGGGGAUCUUCGGACCUUGCGCGAUUGAAUGAGCCGAUGUCGGAUUAGCUAGUUGGCGGGGUAAAGGCCCACCAAGGCGACGAUCCGUAGCUGGUCUGCGAGGAUGAUCAGCCACACUGGAACUGAGACACGGUCCAGACUCCUACGGGAGGCAGCAGUGGGGAAUAUUGGACAAUGGGCGCAAGCCUGAUCCAGCCAUACCGCGUGGGUGAAGAAGGCCUUCGGGUUGUAAAGCCCUUUUGUUGGGAAAGAAAAGCAGCAGGUUAAUACCCCGCUGUUCUGACGGUACCCAAAGAAUAAGCACCGGCUAACUUCGUG
This 492-nucleotide ribosomal RNA is filed under the name uncultured bacterium. Its description in RNAcentral is "partial 16S ribosomal RNA". It matches the Rfam family "Bacterial small subunit ribosomal RNA", at positions 28 to 507 of the family's 1533-position model. The record is from RNAcentral.